GACGAACGCUGGCGGCGUGCUUAACACAUGCAAGUCGAACGGAAAGGCCCUGCUUGCAGGGUACUCGAGUGGCGAACGGGUGAGUAACACGUGGGUGAUCUGCCCCGCACUUCGGGAUAAGCCUGGGAAACUGGGUCUAAUACCGGAUAGGAGCCAUUUUUAGUGUGAUGGUUGGAAAGUUUUUUCGGUGUAGGAUGAGCUCGCGGCCUAUCAGCUUGUUGGUGGGGUAAUGGCCUACCAAGGCGGCGACGGGUAGCCGGCCUGAGAGGGUGGACGGCCACAUUGGGACUGAGAUACGGCCCAGACUCCUACGGGAGGCAGCAGUGGGGAAUAUUGCACAAUGGGCGCAAGCCUGAUGCAGCGACGCCGCGUGGGGGAUGACGGCCUUCGGGUUGGAAACUCCGUUCGCUAGGGACGAAGCUUUUUGUGACGGUACCUAGAUAAGAAGCACCGGCUAACUACGUG
This 465-nucleotide ribosomal RNA is filed under the name uncultured bacterium. Its description in RNAcentral is "partial 16S ribosomal RNA". It matches the Rfam family "Bacterial small subunit ribosomal RNA", at positions 28 to 507 of the family's 1533-position model. The record is from RNAcentral.